Molecule: ribosomal RNA, 253 nt
Filed under: uncultured bacterium
Lineage: Bacteria
Description: partial 16S ribosomal RNA
Rfam family: Bacterial small subunit ribosomal RNA
Source: RNAcentral
UACGGGGGGGGUAAGCGUUGUUCGGAAUUACUGGGCGUAAAGGGCUCGUAGGCGGCCAACUAAGUCAUACGUGAAAUCCCUCAGCUUAACUGGGGAACUGCGUGUGAUACUGGAUGGCUUGGAUUUGGGAGAGGGAUGCGGAAUUCCAGGUGUAGCGGUGAAAUGCGUAGAUAUCUGGAGGAACACCGGUGGCGAAGGCGGCAUCCUGGACCGGUAUUGACACUGAGGCGCGAAAGCCAGGGGAGCAAACGGG